This 1017-nucleotide ribosomal RNA is filed under the name Azospira sp. JD125. Its description in RNAcentral is "bacterial SSU rRNA". It matches the Rfam family "Bacterial small subunit ribosomal RNA", at positions 498 to 1487 of the family's 1533-position model. Lineage: Bacteria; Pseudomonadati; Pseudomonadota; Betaproteobacteria; Rhodocyclales; Rhodocyclaceae. The record is from RNAcentral.
UAACUACGUGCCAGCAGCCGCGGUAAUACGUAGGGGUGCGAGCGUUAAUCGGAAUUACUGGGCGUAAAGCGUGCGCAGGCUCGGUUUCGUAAGACAGACGUGAAAUCCCCGGGGCUCAACCUGGGAACUGCGUUUGUGACUGCGAGGCUAGAGUACGGCAGGAAGGGGGGUAGAAUUCCACGUGUAGCAGUGAAAUGCGUAGAGAUGUGGAGGAAUACCGAUGGCGAAGGCAGCCCCCUGGGUACUAGUACUGACGCUCAUGCACGAAAGCGUGGGGAGCAAACAGGAUUAGAUACCCUGGUAGUCCACGCCCUAAACGAUGUCAGUACUAGGUGUUGGAAGGGUUAAACCUUUUAGUACCGCAGCUAACGCGUGAAGUUGACCGCCUGGGGAGUACGGCCGCAAGGUUUUAAAACUCAAAGGAAUUGACGGGGACCCGCACAAGCGGUGGAUGAUGUGGAUUAAUUCGAUGCAACGCGAAGAACCUUAUUCCUACCCUUGACAUGCCAGGAACUUUCCAGAGAUGGAUUGGUGCCCGAAAGGGAGCCUGGACACAGGUGCUGCAUGGCUGCAUCGUCAGCUCGUGUCGUGAGAUGUUGGGUUAAGUCCCGCAACGAGCGCAACCCUUGUCAUUAAUUGCCAUCAUUUAGUUGUUGGCACUUUAAUGAGACUGCCGGUGACAAACCGGAGGAAGGUGGGGAUGACGUCAAGUCCUCAUGGCCCUUAUGGGUAGGGUACUUCACACGUCAUACAAUGGUCGGUACAGAGGGUUGCCAAGCCGCGAGGUGGAGCCAAUCCCAGAAAGCCGAUCGUAGUCCCCGGAUCGCAGUCUGCAACUCGACUGCGUGAAGUCGGAAUCGCUAGUAAUCGCGGAUCAGCAUGUCGCGGUGAAUACGUUCGCCCGGGUCUUGUACACACCGCCCGUCACACCAUGGGAGUGGGUUCUACCAGAAGUAGUUAGCCUAACCGUAAGGAGGGCGAAUUUACCACGGUAGGAUUCAUGACUGGGGUGAAGUC